CUACUGGUAGGAAUGUCCAGUA
This 22-nucleotide non-coding RNA is filed under the name Rattus norvegicus (Norway rat). The record is from RNAcentral. Lineage: Eukaryota; Metazoa; Chordata; Mammalia; Rodentia; Muridae.